Bemisia tabaci is the source of this 605-nucleotide non-coding RNA. The record is from RefSeq and is a predicted model, not a curated record. NCBI's taxonomy places the organism in Eukaryota, Metazoa, Arthropoda, Insecta, Hemiptera, Aleyrodidae.
UUUUGAUUUUCGUCUUCUUUUUAGAUAAUCCACCUCUACUGGCAAAAGAUUGUGCAUCUUUUUUAUCUGCGAAUAAAAAUUGAAAAAGUUGGAAAAAUUAUUUUCCGCAGAACAGCUUUGAAUGGAAAAGUAGGACAUUCCAAUAAGCCAAGGAAAGCUGGCCAAUCAUCGUCUUAAUUUGUAAUGUUCGCGUCGUUUAAAAAAUUAUCAGCAAAUUUCUUUGAACAUUACUCAACAUGGUUCUCAUGGUGAACGGAAAUUAUUAAGCACUGGAGAGAUGAAAAAAUGCGGGACAAUCAAAUACAAUCUGCAAAAUUUGUCAAUUCUUACGUCACUAUAAUACUCAUCAAGAACUUCACGGUCAAAAGUCAAAUCAGGAAGUCCGACAUUAAACUUGACGGCGUCGAGUUUCUCUGUCAUGGCCUGCUUAUCAGCGUCAUGAAGCCACUUGUACGACGCGAUGUUCUGCUUGAAGGCACGCCGUAGAUUCUCGAACAUUUCCGUUACCUUUAAUAUCAGAAUAAAAUGUAGAAUUUUGGAAAAAGGAAGAGAGAAACAAAGCAACAAUUACUAAUUAUACUGCAAAGAACACAAAUGAAAACCCA